This 3657-nucleotide long non-coding RNA is filed under the name Arabidopsis lyrata. RNAcentral describes it as "long non-coding RNA (ALYR_LNC003159)". Lineage: Eukaryota; Viridiplantae; Streptophyta; Magnoliopsida; Brassicales; Brassicaceae. The record is from RNAcentral.
UAUAUAAAUGGACUCAAGACAAGCUAGUUCUCUCACAAACCAAACUCAUCAAGCAUCCAAAUACAACCAUUGUUUAGCUAUGACCAACCUUUACUUUAGGAUCGCUUUUCUUCUCUCCCUCUUGUUGUCCUUAUCUCGUAAGUAAAUGCGAAUUUUCAUUGGUAAUUCAUAAAUAGGUGAAAACGGUUCCAAGAUUUUGCAUAAUUUAACCAAUUAUGUUUAGCAGUUUGUGAUCAAUUAUGUCGGUUCUAAGUUAAAUUCAAGCGAUUUUUCACUUAAAUUUAUGUUUCUAAUUUUUUUUUUGUCAUCCAAAAUUAAUUAACGCUCAAAAGAGCCAUUUCUGGGGAAUGUUGUUUACAUAUGCGAUAUGAAGCGGUUCUGCACGAACUUUAUGUUUCUAUUAUAUUCAUGAAUUUUGUUUUGGAUUCUUCUAUAUAUGUCACGAAUAUUAUCAGUUGUAUACUAAUUUGACAUUUUUUGGUUUUUUUCUAAAUUGAAGAUCAAAACAUAAUAAUCGAGGCUAGAGAAGGCAAAGAAUGUAUAGGAAAAUGUUAUAGAUCCCUUACUCGUUCUCUUUCGAUGAUAGAUUCAGAAGAAAGAGCCAACAAAGAAUGCAUAGACCAUAAUGGACUUAGUAGCAAAUGUUCUCCUAAUACUUCCCCUUCUGUGAUUGAUUCAGAAGAAGAAGUAGUACUCAACGAAGAAUAUAUGGAUGGUACUAAAGAACAUAAAAGAAAAUGUCAUUGCAAAUGUCGUAAACAUAAAUCUCCAACUCAUUCACCUUCAAUGAUAGAUUCAGAAGCAGGUGUCAACAAAAACCAUAAAAAAAAAUGUCAUUGCAAAUGUCAUAAAGCUAAAACUCCUAAAUGAAUAUUAUAUUUAAAAUAGAUGUAACUCUUAAAUAUAUUUUCUUCAUAUAAUUAAUAUUAAUAAAAUGAUAUAUUCUCUAUUUUUGUUUGAUAGUGAUGGAAUCAAUUUCCAAAUGACAAUUCUUAAUCUUAUAACAUUAAAUCAUUCAAAUUUUUCGAAGUGUAUGAACGACCUCUAGAAAAGAAUGUGGGAUCCAAAAACCAAAAAAUUGGUUUAGACACAUGACAAUUGUGUGAGUGUUUCUGCACAGAUAAAUUGGAUGAUAAAUCAAGUCGGUUUUGAGGAGGAUUUCAACAAGACUCGAGCUUCACCAUGAGAGAUAACGCCCCGAUCGUCACUUAUCUUAGUGGAUCCCAUGUCCUCUCUCGGCCCAUGGGCCCUCCCGUUCUGACGGCCGGUCCGCUACGUCCGGGAGGGUUUAAAGACUUGUUUACCGAUCCUACAAAUCACCACAUUAUCAUUCCCUGUGUUUUGUCCUCACUCACACAGUUCCGACAAUCAGUUUCCGAAAGGUCACCCAUCCUGAAAUUGCUCUAGUUCAAGCACCAAUAACAUUGGAGUUCUCUAAGGACAGUUGAUCGAAAAGAUAAGUACACUUUGGUGACAUAGGUGGCCAAGUCAAUUCUUUUAAAUCUCUCCGCAUGCACCACCAUAUUUUUGAAACCACAGUGUUACAAUUCACCCCCACUAACAGACCGCAAUGUCCUCGUUGCACACCAAGACCGUCACUCCGACGGUGUGAGCCCUCUUGACUCCACACUCAUCAGAGUUCGGCUCUGAUACCAUUUAUAACGCCCCGACCGUCACUUCUCUUAGUAGGCCCCACGUCUCCUCUCUGCUCGUGGGCCCACCCGUGUAUGACUGUCGGUCUGCUACGUCCGAGAGGCUUGAAAGACUUGUUUAUCGACCCUACAAAUCACCACAUGAUCUUUACCUUUGUUUUUUCCUCACUCACACAGUUCCGACAAUCACUUCCCGAAAAAUCACCCAUCCUGAAAUUGUUCCAGUUCAAGCACCCUUAACUUUGGAGUUCUCUCAGGAAAGUUGACCGAAAAGAUAAGUGCACUUUGGUAACAUAGAUGGCCAAGUCAAUUCUUUUAAACCUCUUGGCAUGCACCACCAUAUUCCUGAAACUGGGGUAUUACAAGAGAGUUGACUAUUUGGAAUAUUUUGUUUAUGAUAUAGUUGAACCUCAUGGAAGUUGCUUACGCACCCAUGUAAAAGGAUCAAGCAUUCAAAAUUCAUACUAAAAAAGUUUUCUAGGUUUUUGUGUGAGAGAUUUCAUCCAAAGAGAUGCUUCUCUCUUUAUAUGAACAUGUAGUCAGUUUCGAGAUAUGUACAACUUCCUUAUUUAUCGAACAUAGAUAUGUAUCUUUUCCUCUUUCUUGGAUUCUUAACUUAUCUUCUUAGAAGAUAAAGGAAAAUCUUCUUAACUUAUCAUAAGACUCAUAACUGAAAAUAAAGUCUUCUCUAUAUUAGACAAAAGGAGUUAUAACUGAAAAACAAAAUCUGUUCUAUAUUGAUAAAAUCUAAUAUUUUCAAUAAAUUAAAAAUAAAACUGUUUAAAUAAAGUAAUGCCCAAAUCCCAAUAGGAUACUAUAGCUCUGAUUUUAUUAUUUUCAAAAUCUGUGAAUUUAUUAUAAUAAUUGUAUUUGUGAAAAGUAAUUGUAUUUUUGAAAAAAUAGACUUUGUAUCUUGGAUCAUUGAAUGAGUGUCAUAAUUAAAAAUAAAAAAUCUAGAUAUAUACAAAAUCUGAAAUUUAAAGUACUUUAAAAAAAAUUGUUUUUCCAUCCCAUAUAUAAAUGGACUCAAGACUAGCUAAUUCUCUCACAAUCCAUACUCAUCAAGCAUCCAAAUACAAACAUUGUUUAGCUAUGACCAACAUUUACGUUAGGACCGCUUUUCUUCUCUCCCUCUUGUUGUCCUUCUCUCGUAAGUAAAUGUGAAUUUUCAUUGGUAAUUCAUAAAUUGGUGAAAACGGUUCCAAGAUUUUGCAUAAUUUAACCAAUUAUGCAAAUUGUGGAAUUGUAAUUUAUAUUUAGCCGUUUGUGAUCGAUUUUGUCGUUUCUAAGUUAAAUUCAAAUGAUUUUUUGCAUCAUCUAUGUUUCCAUUAUAUUCAUGAACUUAAAUGCUUUGGGAUUAUUCUAUGUUACGAUGUUACCAACCUUAUACAAAUUUGACAUUUUUCUUUUUUUCUUUAAAUAAAUUGAAGAUCAAAGCAUAAUAAUCGAGGCCAGGGGAGGCAAAGGAUGUAUAGGCAUAUGUUAUAGAUCUCCUACUCCUUCUCCUUCGAUGAUAGAUUCAGAAGAAGGAACCAACAAAGAAUGCAUGGACCAUAAAGGAGUUGGCAGCAAAUGUUCUCCUAAUCCUUCCCCUUCAAUGAUAGAUUCAGAAGAAGAAGUCAACCAAGAAUAUUGGAACAUUGAAGAACAUGAAAGCAAAUGUCAUUGCAAGUGUCCUAAACAUAAACCUCCUACUCCUUCACCUUCAAUGAUAGAUUUAGAUGAAGAAGUCAACCAAGAAUAUAUGGACAUUGAAGAACAUAACAACAAAUGUCAUUGCAAGUGUCAUAAACAUAAACCUCCUACUCCUUCACCUUCAAUGAUAGAUUCAGAAGAAGAAGUCAACCAAGAAUAUUGGGACGUCGAAGAACAUAAAAGCAAGUGUCAUUGCAAGUGUCCUAAACAUAAACCUCCUACUCCUUCACCUUCAAUGACAGAUUCAGAAGAAGCUAAAGCUCCUACCCCCAUUGAAAAACGUAAAAGAAAAUGUCAUUGCAAAUGUCAU